Hirundo rustica (Barn swallow) is the source of this 487-nucleotide long non-coding RNA. RefSeq lists it as uncharacterized. The record is from RefSeq and is a predicted model, not a curated record. Lineage: Eukaryota; Metazoa; Chordata; Aves; Passeriformes; Hirundinidae. The transcript has 2 exons.
AAUGGCGGCUGAGAGAGAGCGAGCUGCCAAGGUCCUUUCCGGCGAGCAAGGGUGUUAAUGAGGUCCCAGGUUAUGGCAUGAUAUUAAAGACUGUUUUGGUAACAUCUAAACUGCCUGACCAGAAGGAUGGAGAAAAUCGCCCCGCAUUCCUGAAUUAUCUUACCCAGAUGAAGAUUGCUGACCAGAGCUUCAGGAGAAGAAGUUAUUGAACCUAUGCUAUCAGAUGGAACAGAGCCACUCACAGAUGGAUCUGCAAGAUAAAAUGGUUGAGGGGGAGUUGAAACUCAACAGAGAAGUUCAAACACAAGAGGAAUGCUUGAUUCAUGCAUUUGAGUUUAUGAAUAUGCAACAGGCUGGUACUUUUAAAGUGCAAGCCUUUUCGUUAUCAAGGUGUGCUUUCUGGCUGCAUGCCAGGCACCCAGCUGUACCAUUUUCCUUGUCUGUCUCCUAAUUGUCUUUUUUAUUAAAACUUGUUAUAAAUAAAAAA